UACGUAGGUGGCAAGCGUUGUUCGGGAUUAUUGGGCGUAAAGGGUGCGUAGGCGGGUCUUUAAGGCAGGGGUGAAAUCCUGGAGCUCAACUCCAGAACUGCCUUUGAUACUGAGGAUCUUGAGUUCGGGAGAGGUGAGUGGAACUGCGAGUGUAGAGGUGAAAUUCGUAGAUAUUCGCAAGAACACCAGUGGCGAAGGCGGCUCACUGGCCCGAUACUGACGCUGAGGCACGAAAGCGUGGGGAGCAAACAGG
This 253-nucleotide ribosomal RNA is filed under the name uncultured bacterium. Its description in RNAcentral is "partial 16S ribosomal RNA". It matches the Rfam family "Bacterial small subunit ribosomal RNA", at positions 524 to 776 of the family's 1533-position model. The record is from RNAcentral.